CGGGUGUAGCUCAGGGGUAGAGCACAACCUUGCCAAGGUUGGGGUCGAGGGUUCGAAUCCCUUCGCCCGCUCCA
This 74-nucleotide transfer RNA is filed under the name Brucella vulpis. Its description in RNAcentral is "tRNA-Gly". It matches the Rfam family "tRNA". From Rfam's summary of the family: Transfer RNA (tRNA) molecules are approximately 80 nucleotides in length. Their secondary structure includes four short double-helical elements and three loops (D, anti-codon, and T loops). Further hydrogen bonds mediate the characteristic L-shaped molecular structure. tRNAs have two regions of fundamental functional importance: the anti-codon, which is responsible for specific mRNA codon recognition, and the 3' end, to which the tRNAs corresponding amino acid is attached (by aminoacyl-tRNA synthetases). tRNAs cope with the degeneracy of the genetic code in two manners: having more than one tRNA (with a specific anti-codon) for a particular amino acid; and 'wobble' base-pairing, i.e. permitting non-standard base-pairing at the 3rd anti-codon position. Lineage: Bacteria; Pseudomonadati; Pseudomonadota; Alphaproteobacteria; Hyphomicrobiales; Brucellaceae. RNAcentral also lists the same sequence under 3 other names. The record is from RNAcentral.